GGAUGCAGCAGGCGCGAAACCUUUGCAAUGCGCGCAAGCGUGACAGGGUAACUCCGAGUGCUAUUCCCACCAGGGAAUAGCUUUUGUCGAGUUUAAGAAGCUCGGCGAAUAAGGGCUGGGUAAGACCAGUGCCAGCCGCCGCGGUAACACCGGCAGACCAAGUGGUACCCACGAAUAUUGGGUCUAAAGCGCAUGUAGCCGGUUUGUCAAGUCUUCUGUGAAAUCCUCAGGCUCAACUUUGAGGGCGCGCAGGAGAUACUGGCAGACUUGGGAACGGGAGAGGUAAGGAGUACUUCUGGGGGAGUGGUAAAAUACUGUAAUCCUAGAAGGACUAACGGUGGCGAAGGCGCCUUACCAGAACGUGUCCGACGGUGAGAUGCGAAGGCUGGGGGAGCAAACGGGAUUAGAUACCCCGGUAGUCCCAGCAGUAAAUGAUGCAGACUAGGUGUUGCAAUACUCUUCGUGAUGUGCAGUGUCGGAGUGAAGAUGUUAAGUCUGCCACCUGGGGAGUACGGCCGCAAGGCUGAAACUUAA
This 534-nucleotide ribosomal RNA is filed under the name uncultured euryarchaeote. RNAcentral's name for it is "bacterial SSU rRNA". It matches the Rfam family "Archaeal small subunit ribosomal RNA", at positions 328 to 859 of the family's 1478-position model. The record is from RNAcentral. Lineage: Archaea; Methanobacteriati; Methanobacteriota.